RNAcentral lists this ribosomal RNA (486 nucleotides) under uncultured bacterium. Its description in RNAcentral is "bacterial SSU rRNA". It matches the Rfam family "Bacterial small subunit ribosomal RNA", at positions 28 to 507 of the family's 1533-position model. The record is from RNAcentral.
GAUGAACGCUAGCGGGAGGCUUAACACAUGCAAGUCGAGGGGCAUCACGAGGUAGCAAUACUUUGGUGGCGACCGGCGCACGGGUGAGUAACACGUAUGCAACCUUCCCUGUACAGGGGGAUAACCCGGAGAAAUUCGGACUAAUACCCCAUGAUGAUAUUAUGGGGCAUCCUUUAAUAUUUAAAGCUCUGGCGGUACAGGAUGGGCAUGCGCGACAUUAGCUAGUUGGUAAGGUAACGGCUUACCAAGGCGACGAUGUUAGGGGACCUGAGAGGGUUGUCCCCCACACUGGUACUGAGACACGGACCAGACUCCUACGGGAGGCAGCAGUGAGGAAUAUUGGUCAAUGGGCGCAAGCCUGAACCAGCCAUCCCGCGUGCAGGAAGACGGCCCUAUGGGUUGUAAACUGCUUUUCCAGGGAGAGAAACUUACGCACGUGUUGCGUGACUGACGGUACCCUGGGAAUAAGCAUCGGCUAACUCCGUG